RNAcentral lists this ribosomal RNA (654 nucleotides) under uncultured Actinomycetes bacterium. Its description in RNAcentral is "SSU rRNA". It matches the Rfam family "Bacterial small subunit ribosomal RNA", at positions 251 to 915 of the family's 1533-position model. The record is from RNAcentral. Lineage: Bacteria; Bacillati; Actinomycetota; Actinomycetes.
GGUGGGGUGAUGGCCUACCAAGGCGACGACGGUUAGCCGGCCUGAGAGGGCGACCGGCCACACUGGGACUGAGACACGGCCCAGACUCCUACGGGAGGCAGCAGUGGGGAAUAUUGCACAAUGGGCGGAAGCCUGAUGCAGCGACGCCGCGUGAGGGAUGACGGCCUUCGGGUUGUAAACCUCUUUCAGCAGGGACGAAGCGCAAGUGACGGUACCUGCAGAAGAAGCGCCGGCCAACUACGUGCCAGCAGCCGCGGUAAGACGUAGGGCGCGAGCGUUGUCCGGAUUUAUUGGGCGUAAAGAGCUCGUAGGCGGCUUGUCGCGUCGACUGUGAAAACCCGCGGCUCAACUGCGGGCUUGCAGCCGAUACGGGCAGGCUAGAGUUCGGUAGGGGAGACUGGAAUUCCUGGUGUAGCGGUGAAAUGCGCAGAUAUCAGGAGGAACACCGGUGGCGAAGGCGGGUCUCUGGGCCGAUACUGACGCUGAGGAGCGAAAGCGUGGGGAGCGAACAGGAUUAGAUACCCUGGUAGUCCACGCUGUAAACGUUGGGCGCUAGGUGUGGGGGGCCUCUCCGGUUCUCUGUGCCGCAGCUAACGCAUUAAGCGCCCCGCCUGGGGAGUACGGCCGCAAGGCUAAAACUCAAAGGAAUUGACG